AGUGAACGCUGGCGGUAGGCCUAACACAUGCAAGUCGAACGGCAGCACAGUAAGAGCUUGCUCUUACGGGUGGCGAGUGGCGGACGGGUGAGGAAUACAUCGGAAUCUACUUUUUCGUGGGGGAUAACGUAGGGAAACUUACGCUAAUACCGCAUACGACCUACGGGUGAAAGCAGGGGAUCUUCGGACCUUGCGCGAUUGAAUGAGCCGAUGUCGGAUUAGCUAGUUGGCGGGGUAAAGGCCCACCAAGGCGACGAUCCGUAGCUGGUCUGAGAGGAUGAUCAGCCACACUGGAACUGAGACGCGGUCCAGACUCAUACGGGAGGCAGCAGUGGGGAAUAUUGGACAAUGGGCGCAAGCCUGAUCCAGCCAUACCGCGUGGGUGAAGAAGGCCUUCGGGUUGUAAAGCCCUUUUGUUGGGAAAGAAAAGCAGCAGGUUAAUACCCCGCUGUUCUGACGGUACCCAAAGAAUAAGCACCGGCUAACUUCGUG
RNAcentral lists this ribosomal RNA (492 nucleotides) under uncultured bacterium. Its description in RNAcentral is "partial 16S ribosomal RNA". It matches the Rfam family "Bacterial small subunit ribosomal RNA", at positions 29 to 507 of the family's 1533-position model. The record is from RNAcentral.